UACGAAGGGUGCAAGCGUUAAUCGGAAUUACUGGGCGUAAAGCGCGCGUAGGUGGUUUGUUAAGUUGGAUGUGAAAGCCCCGGGCUCAACCUGGGAACUGCAUCCAAAACUGGCAAGCUAGAGUAUGGCAGAGGGGGAUGGAAUUCCGCGUGUAGCAGUGAAAUGCGUAGAUAUGCGGAGGAACACCAGUGGCGAAGGCGACCACCUGGACUGAUACUGACACUGAGGUGCGAAAGCGUGGGGAGCAAACAGG
Molecule: ribosomal RNA, 253 nt
Filed under: uncultured bacterium
Lineage: Bacteria
Description: partial 16S ribosomal RNA
Rfam family: Bacterial small subunit ribosomal RNA
Source: RNAcentral